GACGAACGCUGGCGGCGUGCUUAACACAUGCAAGUCAAACGGAAAGGCCCUGCUUUUGUGGGGUGCUCGAGUGGCGAACGGGUGAGUAACACGUGAGUAACCUGCCCUUGACUUUGGGAUAACUUCAGGAAACUGGGGCUAAUACCGGAUAGGAGCUCCUGCUGCAUGGUGGGGGUUGGAAAGUUUCGGCGGUUGGGGAUGGACUCGCGACUUAUCAGCUUGUUGGUGGGGUAGUGGCUUACCAAGGCUUUGACGGGUAGCCGGCCUGAGAGGGUGACCGGCCACAAUGGGACUGAGAUGCCGCCCAGACUCCUACGGGAGGCAGCAGGGGGGAAUAUUGCACAAUGGGCGGAAGCCUGAUGCAGCAACGCCGGGUGCGGGAUGACGGCCUUCGGGUUUUAAACCGCUUUCGCCUGUGACGAAGCGUGAGUGACGGUAAUGGGUAAAGAAGCACCGGCUAACUACGUG
RNAcentral lists this ribosomal RNA (468 nucleotides) under uncultured bacterium. Its description in RNAcentral is "partial 16S ribosomal RNA". It matches the Rfam family "Bacterial small subunit ribosomal RNA", at positions 28 to 507 of the family's 1533-position model. The record is from RNAcentral.